This 177-nucleotide non-coding RNA is filed under the name Mesobacillus subterraneus. Its description in RNAcentral is "Bacillus subterraneus Lysine sequence". It matches the Rfam family "Lysine riboswitch aptamer". Rfam says of the family: Riboswitches are metabolite binding domains within certain messenger RNAs that serve as precision sensors for their corresponding targets. The record is from Rfam by way of RNAcentral. Lineage: Bacteria; Bacillati; Bacillota; Bacilli; Caryophanales; Bacillaceae.
AGUGUAGAUAGAGGUGCAAGUUUCAAAAGUAAAAGUCCGGAGAAUGAUCGGAUUCGAGGAAGGCUUUGAAAGGGGAUGCUUGCCGAAGUGGGGAGAUGCCUAUCGAUUUUCCUGCUGGUCCUUCGUUGAAUAAACGCAGGAUUGUCAAGAUUGCCAUCUUGGAGUGCUAUCUCAUGU